Long non-coding RNA from Halichondria panicea, 620 nucleotides. RefSeq lists it as uncharacterized. NCBI's taxonomy places the organism in Eukaryota, Metazoa, Porifera, Demospongiae, Suberitida, Halichondriidae. The record is from RefSeq and is a predicted model, not a curated record. The transcript is spliced from 3 exons.
GUGGAUGAUAGUACACCGUCCCGUCUAGUUGUGGUAUAUUGCAUGCAGUUAAAGCUUCUAAACCAGUUCUUUGCCAGAUAAAUCUGCCUGCUCUAUAUUGUACUAACUGGAAAUCUCUAAAGUUCAGAUUGAAGUCAAGGUAUCUAUGGCUGAUCCUGAUAAUCAAUUUUUGAAGCUGUUUUUGCUAUUGCGCAUAAUUGGUACAACUUUGGCAUCGCUCUGGAAGUUUGUGACUCUAAGUUGAAAGAGAUUAAAGAAGAUCAUGCCAAUACUGGAUGCAGGAAUUGUCUACGAGAGAUGUUGUCUCAUUGGCUGCGAAAUGGUCAAUCGACAACCUGGCAGGACAUUAUCCAAGCUCUCUGUUCCCGAACUGUAGGCCAGAGAAAAAUUGCUGAGGAAAUAGGAAAACCUCUAUGAAGAAAGGUUAGUAGAGAGUCAAAGUGUUACAAUAUACUUGUGGAGUUUUUAGAACUUUAUUAAAGUUUUCUGUACAUUUUUAGAAACAAGAGUAGGUUCAUUUGACAGCACUGUGUUGCACUGUCCUGUUGAUUAGUCCAAAUACAUGUUUAAGGACCAGUUGUAACAGUAAAUCAGUGCAGAAUCAUUGGUUGCUGUGUGGA